RNAcentral lists this ribosomal RNA (406 nucleotides) under Cryptocercus sp. China-MDP-2002. RNAcentral describes it as "partial 16S ribosomal RNA". The record is from RNAcentral. Lineage: Eukaryota; Metazoa; Arthropoda; Insecta; Blattodea; Cryptocercidae.
UUACGCUGUUAUCCCUUAGGUAAUUUAGUCUUAUAAUCAAUAUAAAUGGAUCAAAUACAUAUAAAUAAAUAUAAAAUAAAUAAAAAGAGUUAAUUAAAUCUUUCCAUCACCCCAACAAAAUAAAUUUUUACAUUAGAAAUUUUCAUACAAAAAAAAUAAAAAUAUAUAAAACUCUAUAGGGUCUUCUCGUCCCAAAAAAACAUUUAGGCAUUUUAACCUAAAAUUUAAGUUCAAAAAAAAAUAAAGACAGUUAACACCUCGUCAAACCAUUCAUUCCAGCCUACAAUUAAAAGACUAAUGAUUAUGCUACCUUUGCACGGUCAAAAUACCGCGGCCCUUCAAUAUUCAAGUGGGCAGGCCAUACAUCAAAAUAUAUUCAAGAAGAGAUGUUUUUGAUAAACAGGCG